Molecule: non-coding RNA, 72 nt
Organism: Phrynosoma platyrhinos (Desert horned lizard)
Lineage: Eukaryota; Metazoa; Chordata; Lepidosauria; Squamata; Phrynosomatidae
Source: the annotation of a GenBank genome assembly
GCCAGUAUGGUGUAGCGGUUUGAGUGCUGGACUACAAUUCUGGAAACCUGGGUUCAAAUCCCAGCUUGGCCA